GUAUCGCAGCUUACGACUAUCGCAUCGGACUACUUGCACCGGCUUUGGUAUCCGUGGGGGUUGGCCUGUUCGUGGUUUUUGCCAUUUGGGUCUUUCCCGAUGUCAAACCGAAAAGUCAGGCCAACAAAUAGGAACGUUGCGUUAGUGAAAAACCGCGUUACGGCGUCACCGAGAAAUAGGAACUUCUAAUGAAGCUGACGGGCAAGACUUUUCUUAUUUCCGGCGCGGCGAGCGGCCUUGGUGAGAGCGCUGCCCGCCUUAUGGCGCGCAAAGGAGCUAACAUUGUUAU
RNAcentral lists this unclassified non-coding RNA (289 nucleotides) under Hevea brasiliensis (rubber tree). Lineage: Eukaryota; Viridiplantae; Streptophyta; Magnoliopsida; Malpighiales; Euphorbiaceae. The record is from RNAcentral.